GUCUACGGCCACGCCACCCUGAACAAGUCCGAUCCCAUCUGAUCUCGGAAGCUAAGCAGGGUUGGGCCAGGGUUGGAUGGGAGACCACCUAGGACCACCAGGUGCUGUAGGCA
RNAcentral lists this ribosomal RNA (113 nucleotides) under Pteropus alecto (black flying fox). Lineage: Eukaryota; Metazoa; Chordata; Mammalia; Chiroptera; Pteropodidae. The record is from RNAcentral.